UUAGCGAACAAGUACACUGAGCAUGACUAUUUAGUUGAACAGUCACAUGGUUCCAUAUUCGCCAGUGACUAGUUCUUUGCUACCGUUGUGUGAAGUACUCUUCGGACCUGAGGCAUCAUGGUUGCUUCACAUAUAGAUUGCUACUGUUUGACUGUACUAAUACUUAGACUCUAAUCAUUGGUCUAUGUCUGGUACUGAUUGGCUGUAGUAGUUUAUAUGGGGAGGCGUGUGAAUGCGCAAUAAGGAAUU
Molecule: long non-coding RNA, 249 nt
Filed under: Ananas comosus (pineapple)
Lineage: Eukaryota; Viridiplantae; Streptophyta; Magnoliopsida; Poales; Bromeliaceae
Description: long non-coding RNA (ACOM_LNC010454)
Source: RNAcentral